This 73-nucleotide transfer RNA is filed under the name Dipodomys ordii (Ord's kangaroo rat). It matches the Rfam family "tRNA". From Rfam's summary of the family: Transfer RNA (tRNA) molecules are approximately 80 nucleotides in length. Their secondary structure includes four short double-helical elements and three loops (D, anti-codon, and T loops). Lineage: Eukaryota; Metazoa; Chordata; Mammalia; Rodentia; Heteromyidae. The record is from Rfam by way of RNAcentral.
GGAGGUAUGGCUCAACUGGUAAAGUACUUGCCUUGAAAGUAUGAGGCCCUGAGUUCAAACCCCUGUAUCACAC